CUUUUAAUCAAUUGGUCGCAGGUUCGAUCCUGCACGACCCACCAUUCAACAUUGAACUUUGAUGUUGAACGUGAAGGAUAACGUUGCGUCAGCAACGGCCCGUAAGGCGAGGCGAAGCUGAGUCAUCCUGCACGACCCACCA
This 142-nucleotide small RNA is filed under the name Klebsiella aerogenes. Its description in RNAcentral is "RtT RNA". It matches the Rfam family "RtT RNA", at positions 22 to 130 of the family's 130-position model. Rfam says of the family: This family represents a bacterial cis-regulatory element known as RtT RNA. The exact function of RtT is unknown although it is thought that it may be involved in changing the cellular response in relation to amino acid starvation. The record is from RNAcentral. Lineage: Bacteria; Pseudomonadati; Pseudomonadota; Gammaproteobacteria; Enterobacterales; Enterobacteriaceae.